Mus musculus (house mouse) is the source of this 3540-nucleotide long non-coding RNA. RefSeq annotates it as RIKEN cDNA F930015N05 gene. The record is from RefSeq and is marked validated. The transcript has a single exon. Lineage: Eukaryota; Metazoa; Chordata; Mammalia; Rodentia; Muridae.
UCUGCACAGCCAGCGCUCAGAAGUACCCAUGGGGGUCCCCGCGCUCACCGGUACCAGGCGAGGCCCUUGUGGUAGCUGCGGUCAAAAAAGUGGGGCUCAGCACCCACGGCACGCACGUCGGGGUGCACGCGCAGGAACUCCAGCAGCGCCCGCGUGCCGCCCUUCUUCACGCCGAUGAUGAUGGCCUGCGGCAGCUGCUUGCUGCCCUCGUCCAGAAGUAAGGCCAGGGUCCCCGGCUGGGCCUCGGCCACGCUGCUUCCCGCCCCGGAGCCUCCUGGUGCGGCGGCCAGCCCAGGGCUCUGCUCCUCCUGGUCGCUGCUGUCUCCUGGCCCCGACCGCCCGCGCCUCCUCCGUUGCCUCAGCUGCAGGAGGCGCUUCCUUGGCGCUCCCGCGGGCCACAUCGCCAGUUCCCUGGGUCCUGCAGGGACGCCGCGCCCCGGGACCCCCGCGACGGGGCCCGAGCCGGGUGGGCAGCGCUCCGCCAGGCAGUAGAAGACGUAGAGGGAAGUGAGUAGCGAGCAGAGCAUCAGCAAGAACUUCCUGAAGAUGCUGCGCGACAGUGGCUCCGCCGGGCUGGGCUGGGCGCCGGUGGGACCCGAGGGGGCCAUCCUAGCCAGAGGCGACCUCGGACGGCGAGCGGGCCAUGCUAGGCCACGACUGUGCUGGGAGCUCCGCCAUCCCCGCUGCCAGCCAGCGUGCUGCCCCGCGGCCGCAUCGCCUGAGCCGCCCUGCGUGCCUGAGAGCUGCCCCGCUGGGCGGCAGCAGGGGCUGGAACUAGGGACCAAGCACUGCGAGCCCUUCUUGGGGUCCUGGGCUUCGGGCGACGAGGAGGAAAGGGGUGCGGGGCCGUGCUUAAGAAACCAUGGUCUUGGGUCUGAAACGCGCCCGAGUCCUGAGCCUAGCUGCGCAGAGCUCCGCGCCCUGGGUCUCCGAGAGUCGCCCGGCAAGGGAGUCUCUGCGGCGGCAGUGGCGAAGGUGCUCGGCUCAGCAGGGUCCUGAGCGGUGCGGAACUUGGCUCAGCGAUAACACAUCCUUGGCUCAGUCCCCCGUGGAGCGGGCGCAGGACUCUCGGGCCGAAGAAUUGUGUACGCUCCGGUUAGAACGAGUGACCCUUUUUCCAGCUUCUGCUCUCCUGGCCCGCCCAGGAGCGUGCCCUGAGUCCUGGCUCAGCUCGUCUCAGCAACCGAGCAAGCAAAGUCCCCCUAGUCCCUCUAUCCGAAUGGGACUCAAGCCUUCUGGCCUCUUGAGCGCUCCGGAAGUCUACCCACUCCUCUGGGGCCCCAGCUGGGAACAGCUUGGAGGGGCCCCGCUGUGCGGGACCUGUCAGCCACCGCUGCCACUGUGCUCUUGGGCUCUCCCCGCAGCCUCCUCAGCCGCUACCGCCACACGUGGGACGCGAAGGACAGCAAACUUGGUGGUGACGUCAACGGCCCAGGCCAGACCAACGCGGGGAUCCGCUCUAGGGUGCAGAGCAGAGGCGCAGGGGCCGGGCUAGAGAGGCAGAAGGGGUGGGACCGGGACAAAAAAAAAAAAAAAAGGUGACGAGGCACCGCCCAAUACACUGGAGAGGGCGCGGACGACAGAGGAGACGCCCCUUCCUCGCACUCCCUCUCUCCUUUCCUCCUUCCUCCUCCUCCACCCCUAGGUCUCUGGGCGCUGUCAGAUUGACAGCGCCUGUAUGAUUGCCUGAGUCUAACGCCCAGCCAGUCCACCCCUUGCCGGAUUGGGGGUUCUCAGACCUCUCCAGCUCAGCUUAGUCCUUAGCAGCCUUAACACCCCCAGAUCCCCACUUCCUGAUUCCCUCUGGUCCCAGCUUCUGUAUUCCUACCCUUCUCCAGCCCACCCAUCCCAUCCCCUCUCAUCCCAGAGACUUCUGAAGUUUUGUUCCCAAGAGUUCUUGGCAGGCCACGCCCCCAUUUGUCUGGGCAAAGAGACAGCUUCAGUACAGACUUGCCUUCUACUUCCCUGUCCACUGAGGGCCCUUACAAGUCUGUCUGUUAGUUUGCUUGCUUGCUUGUUUUUCCUUUGGAUUUAUUUAAAAAGAUGAAGAGUCUCAUAGGACCUGGAAAGGAACCCCUUAGAAACUAGAUCAAUAAAUACACCAAAACAGAAAUUAUAUUUAAAAAAUAAUAAGUACAAUUCCAAAUCCGUAUAACCAGUUGUUGAUAAAGUUUAAUACUUUGCAUAUGUGCACCACCCACAUGCGUGAAUGUGUUUUCACUCUUUGAGAGUUAAGAGUCCUUCCCUAAACAACGGGUUCCUUUUUCUCUUAUUUCCCCUGACCCCUAGAUACCCUUCCCAUGCCCCCAAAGCAAGUCACAAAGAGGUAAAAUCUGCCCCUUGCUGGCUCCUGGGGAGGUGAGUAGUAAAAUCUUCAGGAGAUGUUGAAGGUUUGAUUGCUUUCUUUGGCUGUUACUCUGUGGUGGUUUUGUUUUCAAUUUUUCAUUUAUUUGUAUUUUAUGUGUAUGGCUGUUUUGCCUGCAUGUGUGUCUGUGCACCACGUGGGUACCUGGUGCCAGCUGGAGAGUUCUAAAUCUCUUUGAACUGGAGUUCCUGACAGUUGUUAGCCUAGAUGUGGGUGCUGGGAAUUGUACCAGGUCCUCUAGAAGAGCAGCCAGGGCUCUUACUGCCGAGCCAUCUCUUCCACCACCAGAUAUUUCAUUUUUGUCCUAAUCGUAUUGCUUCCUUAUUUCUGUCUCCUGCAAGAUACCUGGCAAUGUGGGCUGUGCCCUGGUCACUGUAGCCCAAUCCUGUGCGCUGUAGACAUCUUCCUAGCUCCCUAACCCCUCCCCUCCCUGUGCUAAUAAGAGUCCAGCAGUCAAGAGAGCUAGGUCUCAGGAAACUCACUUAGGAAUCCUGGCUGCCUAGCUUUGACACUCAGAUUUUCUCUCCUCUUCCUGCUCAUUCCCCAUUUGACCAAGGAAGUGUAAGUUAGGGGGUUGCCUUUCAGCUUCCACAGGGGCCCUACUGAUUCUAAGUUUGCUUGGAUAGAACUGGAUCACAUGUGGCCUGUUGGGUAAGAAUAGUGCCGUGUUCAUAAACUACCAGUCACAACUGAUUCCCAGACCAAUGAAGAUCUGUUUAGAAGCAGAGACCAGAAAGCACUGGUCUUUGCCCAGGAUGAGCAACAUGCCUUGCCAAGUUUCCAUGUCCUAUUAUGUCUGAAAAUUGGAUAUUGACAAACCACUUUGAAGCUUAAGGUUUAAUGUGUUUUGAAACUUUCCUCUGUGUAUUUCAGUCUGGUUUGUAGAAGGAAGACAACAAAAACAGAGACCAUUUAAAAGUUGCUCUGAAAGUGUGUCGUUGUGCAGAUGGUCACCAGAAUAUAUGUUUUCUCAUCUGGAAAGCACUGAGCUCCCAGUUCAACUGUAGUUCAUCAUAAGGUGAUAUUGUAUAUAGUAUAUACAUCGUGCAUAGGAAUGAUGUGGCCCCAAGCCCCCAGACUUUUCCUAGCAUGCAGAAACAUAAGCUGAAUAAAUGGCUAUUAUGCAUAUUGACCUCUGUGGCACUCUGUGAAGAGCAGAAACCAUAUUGGAACAC